This 1345-nucleotide long non-coding RNA is filed under the name Cicer arietinum (chickpea). Its description in RNAcentral is "long non-coding RNA (CARI_LNC001719)". Lineage: Eukaryota; Viridiplantae; Streptophyta; Magnoliopsida; Fabales; Fabaceae. The record is from RNAcentral.
AGUAUUAGAAAUCAGUAACUGGUCACAAAUAGCAACAUUUGUUUGGUAUUUAAAACUAGUCAGAAGUAGGUUCAAGUCUAUAACAACUUACAACAUUAACUAGGGAGGUCAGAUUCCACAAAGCAUAUAGACGAGCAAGGCCAGCUGAUCUCCUAGGUCCUUGACUAAACAAAGCACUGAUUCCAGAUGGAAAUGGAAAUAGCACGCCGAGAGGGAGGACAAAUAAAACUAAGAAGAAGUUCACCAGCGACAGCGAGUACAUCUGAAGUAAGGUAAGCAACACUAAUAUAAAAUCCCCCAGGAGCAAAAUAGAGAUAACCAGACCGACUAGAUCCUGCAGUGAUACGAAAGAGCGUUGGUAAAAACGAUAAGUGUUUGUCAUGUAAAUGAGCUCUGUAAUGAAUAUAUCCACAAAUGAAGGCAACUACCUGUUUCAAGGUUAAAACAAAUGCUUGGAGUUUAUUCAGAGAAAAUUGAAACAUAAUGAAAAGUUACAUACUCCUUGAUCUCAUAUUAUCUGUGGUUUAAGGAUAUACAUACCUCUUAAAAAUAACAAAUCACUAAAUAUAACAACUCCCAUGAUAAACUAUUGACUAAAAAAAUACAGUUAUAUUUGUUUAUGAUUUUAUCAUUGUAUUUAUUACAGGUUACAGAAAAAUAGAUAAUAUAAUUAGAGGUAUGUUGGUAAAAAAUAAUUAAUGGACUUGAAAAUUUGAAAGAAUUUUUAUAAAAAGGGUCAAGGAAAAAUCUCAAGAGAUCCUAUAUUUAGGGGAAGUGUUAGUAAUAUAGAGCUAGAACUUGAGAUACAAUCAUAAAAAUAAAUAAAGGUACUAUUGAUGAAAAAGUAAUUAAUCAUAAAAAUAAUAUUCUAGUAACAAAUAAUGGACAGUUAACAUGAGAUGAGGAGAGUAUUAGAAAUCAGUAACUGGUCACAAAUAGCAACAUUUGUUUGGUAUUUAAAACUAGUCAGAAGUAGGUUCAAGUCUAUAACAACUUACAACAUUAACUAGGGAGGUCAGAUUCCACAAAGCAUAUAGACGAGCAAGGCCAGCUGAUCUCCUAGGUCCUUGACUAAACAAAGCACUGAUUCCAGAUGGAAAUGGAAAUAGCACGCCGAGAGGGAGGACAAAUAAAACUAAGAAGAAGUUCACCAGCGACAGCGAGUACAUCUGAAGUAAGGUAAGCAACACUAAUAUAAAAUCCCCCAGGAGCAAAAUAGAGAUAACCAGACCGACUAGAUCCUGCAGUGAUACGAAAGAGCGUUGGUAAAAACGAUAAGAGGAGAUGCAGCAGAUUUUAUAAAAACUGGGACAUGGUGAAGUUAACAAUGGAAAACAUUGUAAUA